UACAGAGGGGGCAAGCGUUGUUCGGAAUUACUGGGCGUAAAGGGCGCGUAGGCGGCCCGCUAAGUCGAACGUGAAAUCCCCGGGCUCAACCCGGGAACUGCGUCCGAUACUGGCAGGCUUGAAUCCGGGAGAGGGAUGCGGAAUUCCAGGUGUAGCGGUGAAAUGCGUAGAUAUCUGGAGGAACACCGGUGGCGAAGGCGGCAUCCUGGACCGGCAUUGACGCUGAGACGCGAAGGCGUGGGGAGCGAACGGG
RNAcentral lists this ribosomal RNA (253 nucleotides) under uncultured bacterium. RNAcentral describes it as "partial 16S ribosomal RNA". It matches the Rfam family "Bacterial small subunit ribosomal RNA", at positions 524 to 776 of the family's 1533-position model. The record is from RNAcentral.